CCGUGUCUGCCACCGACACCACAGCUCACGGCAACCUGGAUUCCCUGACCCACUGAUUGAGGCCGGGGACCAAACCUGCAUCCUCAUGGAUACUAGUCAGGUUUGCUAACCACUGAGCCAUGAUGGGAACCUGCACUUACUUUAUUAUUGUCAGUCAUUUAAGGGUCUGAUACCUCAGGGCUGUCAUUCUGAAGGUGAAGCUUUUGAUGUGGGACCAGCUGACAGGGACGUCCAUGCCCCAACACUGUUGUCCAGGGCACCGCAGGGCGUCGGAACGCGUAGCCCGAGCUGCCUCGUUGUGCCGUGUGUGCUGUCUAGAGAAAGAGAGGGAGAGAGGUUUUUAUUAAAAGGAGAUGGCUCGCCCACAUGCCUCCUGAAAAGUCCCAGGAUCUGUAGCCAGCAAGUUGGAGACCCAGGAGAGCUGAACCAUAGGUCUUUUUUUUUUUAAGGCCCAUACCUGCGGCACAUGGAGGUUCCCAGGCCGGCGGCUGCAGCUCCGAUUUGACCCCUGGCCUGGGAGCCGUGUGCUGUGGGUGCGGCCCUUAAAAAAAAAUACGGAAAAAACCAAAAAACCCAAACAAUACACAGUGAGAAGGGAAUUGGAUCCAGGCCGGUGCCACCUGGCCCCAGGGGAAGUCCCCCAGCCCCAGCGGGUUUCUGCCGAGUGCCGAGUGCCGGAGGGAAGGCCGUGCGGAGCCAGGAGCAGCCGCCGCCGGGUGGAGGAGCUGUGGGCGCAGGCACGGGCGGCCGCGUGUUGGUUUUGCCUCUGGCCGCGAGUGCGCUGCCGGCUGCCGGGGCGGAGUGUCCAUCUGCCGCUUCCCCAACCAGCCUCGUCCCUCGUCCCCUCCACUCUGCACGCGGACACGUUUGCCUCCACCCGUUGUCGCAGCGGAGGGACCUUCCUGUCGUCUGCCCUUGUGUCUCAUCGAGGUCCACGCCCGGCUUUCUCUGGCGAUCGUGUCCCCAUUCGCUUCGAUGGCCCGUCGCCGUGGGCCCAGCCUUGGCGGCCACCCGCCUGGCAGCAAGACCCAGCCCGGCUGAGUGCACGGCGGCGUCAUCGGCAUCCCUGCUCUCCUCGGGCUUCCAGGGGCGCCCGAAGGAGUCGCCCACGCCGAGGCUGGGCUGGGCUGCGAAAGGGGCGCGGCUGGCGGGCCGGGGCCCCGGGCCCUGCGCCUGCGUUCCCUGAUGCCCUCUCGAGACCCGUCCGCUUGUUUUGUGAUGCGUCUCUUCUCUUGAAAGCCUCUGAGUAGACAACCACCCUUAGCUCUCACCGUGGCGGAGGAAGGGGAGGCUAGUGACCCAGUGGCGUAGUUUACCCGUGGG
This 1323-nucleotide long non-coding RNA is filed under the name Sus scrofa (pig). RNAcentral describes it as "lncRNA (ENSSSCG00065078863.1)". Lineage: Eukaryota; Metazoa; Chordata; Mammalia; Artiodactyla; Suidae. The record is from RNAcentral.